Pongo pygmaeus (Bornean orangutan) is the source of this 1631-nucleotide long non-coding RNA. RefSeq lists it as uncharacterized. The transcript has 4 exons. The record is from RefSeq and is a predicted model, not a curated record. NCBI's taxonomy places the organism in Eukaryota, Metazoa, Chordata, Mammalia, Primates, Hominidae.
AAAGACCUUGUCUUUCUCUUGGAAUCUCUUCCCCUCUGGCAGGAAGUAGAGGAAGAGGAAACUGACUUUGGAAACCAGGCAUACCUAGUUGUGCUGUCAGCCAAAGCCCACCAAGUUCAUCCUGUAAAGUCACAUGCCUGAACAUUCAUCAGCUAGAAUUCCUCUGUAAGAAGAACUAUCCCUCAUCUACUAGGGUUAUUUGGUCUGUUGCAGUUUGUGGGAGGUCCACUUCAGACCCUGUUCAACUGGGUAUCACCAGUGGAGGCUGUAGAACAGCAGUAUCACCAGUGGAGGCCACAGAACAGCAAAGAUUGCUGCCUACUCCUUCCUCUGGAAGCUUCGUCCCAGAGGGACACAGGUCUGAUGCCAGCCAGAGCUCUCCUGUAUGAGGUGUCUGUUGAUCCCUGUUGGGAGGCCUCUCCCAGUCAGGAGGCGUGGGCAUCAGGGACCCACUUCAGGAGGCAGUUCUGUCCCUUAGCAGAGCUCGAGUGCUGUGCUGGAAGAAUCCUCGUCAGGAUCAGCUGCUCUCUUCAGAGACAGCAGGCAGGAAAGUUUAAGUCCACUCAAACUGCGCCCACAUCCACCCCUUCCCUCAGGUGCUCAGGUGCUCUGUCCUAGGGAGAUGGGAGUUUUAUCUAUAAGCCCCUUACUGGGGCUGUUGCCUUUACUUUAGAGAUGCUCUGCCCCAUGAGGAGGAAUCUAGAGAAGCAGUCUGGCCACAGCCACUUUGCCACGUUGUGGUGAAUUCCGCCCAGCCCAAACCCCCCAGCCUCCUUAGCAGUGUCAGCAGAAAACCAAACACUAAAGCCUCAGUAAUGGCGGACACCCCUCCCCGCACCAAGCUAGAUCGUCCCAGGUUGACUUCAGACUGCUGUGCCAGCCGCGAGAAUUUCAGCCAGUGGUUCUUAGCUUGCUGGGCUCCAUGGGAGUGGGACCCGCUGAGAGAGACCACUUGGCUCCCUGGCUUCAGCCCCCUUUCCAGGAGAGUGAAUGGUUCUGUCUCACUGAGGUUCCAGGCGCCACUGGGAUAUGGAAAAACUCCUGCAGCUAGCUUGGUGUCUGCCCAAACAGCUGCCCAGUUUUGUGCUUGAAACCCAGGGCCCUGGUGGUAUAGGCACGUGAGGGAAUCUCCUGAUCUGCAGAUUGCAAAAACCAUGGGGAAAAACGUAGUAUCCGGGCCGGGUAGCACAGUUCCUCAUGGCUUCCCUUGGCUGGGGGAGGGAGGUCCCCUGGAUUCUUGCAUUUCCUGGGUGAGGCGAUGCCCCACCCUGUUUUUGCUUGCACUCUGUGGGCUGCAUCCACUGCCUAACCAGUCCCAGUGAGAUGAACUGAGUAGCUCAGUUGGAAAUGCAGAAAUCACCUGCCUUGUGCGUUGGUCUCGCUGGUAGCUGCAGACCAGAGCUGUUCCUAUUUGGCCAUCUUGUCUGUACUCCAAAAUUCCUUCUUGCUUGGGGGAGAUUAGUCUUUGUUCUAUUAAAGCCUUCAAUUGAUAGUAUCAGGCCCACCCACAUUAUACCCUUUCAUAUUUUAAUGUUAAUUUGUGCCUUCUUUAUUUUUGAAAUCAUACUUGCCAAAAACUUUUGUAUUCUAUUAGUCUUUUCAAAUAAAUAUUAUUUCCUCUUAUCGAUCUA